This 301-nucleotide ribosomal RNA is filed under the name uncultured bacterium. RNAcentral's name for it is "partial 16S ribosomal RNA". It matches the Rfam family "Bacterial small subunit ribosomal RNA", at positions 509 to 807 of the family's 1533-position model. The record is from RNAcentral.
CAGUAGCCGCGGUAAUACGGAGGGUGCAAGCGUUAAUCGGAAUUACUGGGCGUAAAGCGUGCGUAGGUGGUUGUUUAAGUCCGUUGUGAAAGCUCUGGGCUCAACCUGGGAAUUGCAGUGGAUACUGGGUCACUAGAGUGUGGUAGAGGAUAGUGGAAUUUCCGGUGUAGCAGUGAAAUGCGUAGAGAUCGGAAGGAACAUCUGUGGCGAAGGCGACUAUCUGGGCCAACACUGACACUGAGGCACGAAAGCGUGGGGAGCAAACAGGAUUAGAUACCCCAGUAGUCCCUGUCUCUUAUAC